Molecule: long non-coding RNA, 24270 nt
Filed under: Phaseolus vulgaris (common bean)
Lineage: Eukaryota; Viridiplantae; Streptophyta; Magnoliopsida; Fabales; Fabaceae
Description: long non-coding RNA (PVUL_LNC003702)
Source: RNAcentral
UGUCAUGGGUUUUGAGGAACAGUUCUGCAGUUUCUGGGGAAGAGACCACUAUGGCUGGGACCUGCCCCAGAUUUAAGGACAUUAUGGGACCAUAUUUUGUGGCAAGGGAUUGAAGGGUUCGAUGUGGGAGUUUUCCUAACAUGUGAAGGUUUCCAAUAAUUGGCAAGGGUUUGGGACCUGGUGCAGUUUUCCAAUCAUGUUUCUUUUGGAACAAAAAAACAAUGAAUGAUAUUAAGAGAAGUGUUAUAGGGAUAGCUAGUGCUUGAAACAACAUUUCUAAAUUGUUUAUUUGCUUUGUGAGAAUUAAGAGGUGAGUUUAGGUUAUUUAUAGACCUUAAUAUAUAGUAUACUGUGUGUAUAUAGAUAUAUAGGUAGAUAUUGAUGGGAAAAACGCGCGCGAAAACAACACACAUAAUCACGAAAUCAACUGCAGAAAAAUAAACGACACAAGAUUUAACGUGGUUCGGUCGCCAACUGCAACCUACAUCCACCCGGACAACUAUUAGGUUUACAUUAUAUCCUGUUACACACCAAUUACAAGUACAAUAAUCUCUUUAAAUAGAGAUAAAUAGAGAUAAUAAAGGGACAUAACAAUUAAGCUCACUCACUAAACAUGUGUCUUGUCAGCCCAACCCAAUUGGUCCUGGCUUCGUACCCAACAGAUAUAUAUAUAUAUAUGGUGCUGGCUUCGUACAGAACAUAUAUAUAUAUAGACUUUCAAAUGUAUUAGAAUAUGUCUUGUGAUUUUGGAGGAUUUUAAUAAAUUAAAUAAUAAAAUUGAGUAAUCAAGAAAUAACUUGCUAUGAUUGUCAAGGCAAAAUCGUAAUAAUAUUAAUAAUGGCAGGUAUUUUAGAUUUUGUAGGAAGAUAUUUGUUUUUAUAUAAAUAAAGAGCAAUAAUAAAUAACUUUUUAUAUAUAAAAUGUUAUAGUUAAAGUUACAGAUAGAUUAAUUACUUUAAAAGCAUAAAUAUUAUUUUUAAUUUAUAAUGAAUAAUGUAAAUUAUGAUAUUAGAAUAUUUCCUCUUUUUACUCUGAUGUAACUAAAAAAUAUGGUAUCAGAAUAUUUUAACUAUAGAUAAUUCCAAACUUAUUAAAACUUACUUUGGAAUACAUAUAAGACAUGAUAAAUUUAAUGUUUCAAUAAAUUAAUAUAUGAACAGAUAAAAGGAAAGUAUCUUGAUAUGAUUGAAAGAAGAAAAUCAGUUUUUUAAAUGUAAAUAAAAUGUAUAUUUGAAAGAAAGACAAAAAAGAGAGUAUUGAGAAUAUUUAAAGAAAAGUUAAAAGAGGAAGAAUAUUUCUGAAUUAUAUAUUACAUAUUGUAAUUUAUAAUAGAAAUAAGUUAAAGAGAGCAUUUAAAAAUGUUUUGGUCGCAGUGCUUUUUCCCUUACACACUGUCAUGGUUGGUACCUCCUUGUUUGCUACCUCUUUUUUUGUCUUGUUAUUUAGACUGUUCAUUAUAUCUUAGUUUAAUUCUAAUUUUUAUUUUUAAAAAUUAAAUUUUUAUAUCAAAUCAUUUUUAAAAAUAUUUUUUAAUAUAUAUGAAUUUAUUCUAUUUUAGUCUUUAUUUAUUUAUGGUAAUUCAAUGAUAAACUCGACCAAAAUCAAUAAUAUAUAGACAUGGGGUAGAGUUUAUUCGUAUUGUGAUCUUCAAUAAAAUAAUAAGCCAAUAACGACGAAGACCUUGUCUUCUAGAUUAGAGGCACAUGGAUCUAUGCAGACAAUAUAUCUUUUAAUACAUGAUACGAAACUAUUUUAAUUUUAAAUAGUUUUUUAAUAUAUAUGACUUAAAAUCAAAGUCAGACGAUUUUUCUUUACUUAUGAUAUUAUAUUAUAAAAGAUGGAAAUGCGUGCCAAAACCUUUUUACAACUAAAAGAGUGCAUUAAUAUCAUACCUAAUAUUAUUUGAGUUUAACUAACCCAAGUACUUAGAUAACCAAAUAUAAAAGCAAAUUGGUAGCCUAAAAAAAAUAAUCAGAAAACAAAGUUUAUAGUGUUGACAAAUACUUUCAUAUUUCUAUUGAUGUAGUUUUUGUGUAUUUAAAAGACAAAAGUCUAAUAUCACUAUUACUAACAUUUUUUUUUUCAUUUUGAAAAGUAGAUGAUAACAAUUUGAUGGGAGUUGAGAAAGAAAAAAAAAAAGAGUUUUUCCUUAUGUAACAAAGGUUGUUUACCAUUGAUCAUCAAGAAAGAGUGUAAUGAGAAAAUAAAUUACAAAAAGACAGAUUAAGAAAAUAUGAUUAAAGAAAUUACUCAGAGUAAGUCUCUUAUGGAUUAAUCAAGAUAAAUGUUUAUCACUAUUAUAAUGUAUGUGAUAAUCAUAGACUCUAAGAUUCUUAUAAUAUACAUCAGAAUCUACAUGUAGUGUGGGAAUCAGGAUGUCCAAAUUUAUGAUUAUCCAUGGAUAAUGUUUUUUUACCAUAAUUUUUAAAAAAAAUAUGAAUUUGUGAAAAGAAGAAUUUUUUAUAAUUAAAUUACCAUAAAUUUUAUGGCACCUCAAGGAGCACGAGUGCACAAGUCUCAUUCUGUUAGUUGAAUGAUCAUGUGAAUCUGUGUGAGUAAUCAACUAAUUUCUUUGGUAAGAAUUGCAUUAGCUCUACACAUGUAUAGCCUCUCGGUCAUCUAAAAAUAUAAAACAAAUUUCAAUUCAAAGUGACCCUUUACAGGGCCUACAUUUCUGCAUAAACGUUUCUUUGGUAGGAAUUGCAUUGGUUUUACACAUGUAUCAGUCUUUCAACCCUCUAAAGAUAUAAGACAAAUUCCAAUUCAAAGUGGCCCUUUACAGUGCCUGCAUUUUUGCAGAAAGGACUCGAGGACUUUUCUACAUUUAUUUUGCAUUUUUUAAUGCUUUAAUUAAAUUGAAAUGCUAACACCCAAAUCUCACCUUGCAAUUUUGUGCUUUUACUCAUUCCAAGGAAAGAAGUCAAAUCCCGACCGAUCUGAUGUUGCUUUGAAUUUUGUGACCUCCUUCUUCAGUUGGAGCAUCUUAUUGCUUUUGAAUUCCAAUUAAGGAAUGACAAAUUUCAUUUUUGUGGGGAGUCUAGACAUUUCCAAAUGGUUUGCCCCAAAUGUAAAGUUUGAUUCAAAAAUAAAGGUGAGCAUAAUGUUUAUGUAUAUUUUGAAUCAAAGUUAACUAAAGUUUGCUAUAAUAUUUGGUGGAUUGAUUAUGGAUAUGUAUAGCUCAUCUUUCUAAUAUGAUGCAUGAAUUACUUUGAAUCCGAACCAUAAACCCAAAUGAGAAGUUUGUCUUCAUGGGAAAUAGAGUGAAAGUUCUAGUUGAAGCUAUCAGGACUUAUCGUUUAAUCCUUAACAUUGUAUUUUAUAUAGAUUUGUUUUAUACUUUUUAUGUACCUAGCAUUUCUUGGAACUUAGUUUCUUUGUCUAAAAUUGAUGUUGUUGGAUACUCUUAUAGGUUUGGGAAGGGUUGUUUAAGUUUGUAUAAGUGUACUUGUAUGAUAGGAUCUAGUACACUUUAUGAUGAUUUAUAUGUUAAAACUCUUAUGACCUCACGUCAUAAUGUUAUCACUAAAAGUAGUUUAGUGAAAUGAAUGUUCUGCUUAAUUGUGGCAUAAGUGUUUGAAAUAUAUUUCCAAAGAAAUUAUGCAAAGAUUAGUAAAGAAUGAAAUCAUUUUGAAUUUGGAUUUUACUUAUUUGAAUAUUGGUGUAGAUUGUACUAAAGGAAAACCAACAAAACACACAAAGAAAGUUGCCACAUGAAGCAUUCAACUUCUUGAAAUUCUUUUAAUAAAGAAAUGUAUUUUAUCACCUUUAAUAAUAAUUUUUCACGAUAUGGGUAUGUCUAUUUACUACAUGAGAAAUUUCAAGCAUUCCAUGCCUUAGAAAUUUAUAUAAAUAAACUAGGAAGACAUUUAGACAGAGAGGUGAAAAUUGUGAGAUUAGAUAGAGAGGGUCAAUAUUGUGGAUGAUGAAAGUUGGACCCUAUGUGAUCGGCCAUAAAAUACUUUGAUCUAUUUUCAAAAUUGUCAUCGAGCUUUUUUAAUGUUAUGGUUAGGGAGGUCAAACGUAAGUGACAUUUUCUCCACUAGUGUAGGUUUCUUAACCCAUUUCUCACCAGGAACAGUAAAAUGUGUUAUUCAGCUAAAUAUAUCAAUCAUGUGUGAUUGGAAUGAUUACUUAUUUUUCUAUUAUAAAAAAUGAGUUUCAUUUUGACGAGCAUAAUAUUUAUUCCUUUUAUAAUGAUUAUAUGAAUGUUCAAAGUUACACAAGAGCUUUUAAAUUUAUUGAUUUUGACUAUUAUAUUAAACGAGAGAAUAUUUUUAAUUUUUUAUAUAGUUUUGCUCUUUCUUUUUUUCUCUCUCUAUUUGAGUGCAAACAGAAUUAGUGCAUGAAUGAAAUCAAGAGAGUUGAACGUGAGAAUCUUAAACUGAAAAUAGUAUUUAUUAAUAAAUUAUCAAUCAAACUAGUUAUUAUUUUAAUAAUCAUUCAUUGGUGAUGGUAUAAGACAAAAGUUGAAUAAAAGACAAUCAUGUGUGCUCCUUAUUCAUCCAACAUAAAAUGUAAUGACAAUGAUGCAAAAUAUUGUACCACAAUUGUAAAAACAAAGAAUCUCUCACUUGUCACGGGUUAUGACACAAACAAAAAUAGUUAUACUUAAACCAUUGAAUUAAUAAAAAUACUUGAUCACUUAUUCAAAUUAUUUGAUACAUGAUUAAAUGUGUAAUAUGUCUCAAACUAGAAUUGAAAUCAACCACAAACAUAUCUAGAUUGACCUUGCUUUGUAUUAUUAUCCUCUCUCUUAACCUAACUACCUAGUCGAUAAACUGGUCUAGUUAACAAAUUAUUCUUUCUGGGUAUGCUGAGUCCAAAUAUCUCUUGCAUGUCUAACUCAUCACAAGACAUGCCCAAUGGAAGCAUCCAAUCAAAACAAUGCACCAAUUGUGCCAAAACAAGACUAACCGUUGUUAAACCCAAAUGAAUCCCGGGGCACCCUCUUCGACUCGACCCAAAUGGUAAAAUUCGAAAGUCCUUUCCACGAAUGUCUACAUUGUUAUUCUCAAACCUUGUAGGAUCGAAAAUCUCGGCAUUGUCCCAAACAUUAGGAUCUCGCCCUAUAGCCCAUGCAUUUACUAUAAUCCUUGAUUUUUUCUUUAUAAAAUAACCAUCAAUGAUAACAUCUUCUUUGCACUCACGAGGUACUACCAAAGGUACAACCGGGUGCAACCUUAGUGUUUCCUUCACCACCAUAUUCAAAAAAGAUAACUUGUCUAAGUCACUUUCCUCCCCGUAUUUGUUCAUUCCAACCACAUGUUUUAGCUCGUGUUGAAGUCUCUUCAUCACACUUGGGUGCCUCAAGAGUUCUGACAUGGCCCAUUCUAAUGUUGUGGAAGAUGUUUCUAAUGCUCCACCGAUCAUGUCUAAUAUGAUAGCUUUGAUGUUUGUCCUAUCAAUAACGUUUUGGUUGUUGUGAACAUCAUUUGGUUGGUGCAUGAGUGAGAGCAAAACCUCCACAAAGUCCAUGUUGCCUUUUUUUAUCUUUGUCAUUUGAAUUACUCUCUUUGUCUUGGAUUAUUUGCUCAAAGCCUUUGUCAAGUGACUUGCUUGCUUUCUUUAAUCUUGUUGUUAUUCCCUAAGCAAUAGUUGCAUGAAUAAAUACCAAAAAAGUAACAAAACAUAAUUAUACAUAUUCUUUCAUAUAGACAUAGAUAUGCCAACAAACAUUUCAAUUUAUUUAUCUAUGGAGUUACAUGUAAAACCCUAAAUUUCAUUCCAUGAUAAAAAUAUGUGAAAAGUUAGAUAAACACUAAUUUUAGUAAAUUUAUCCUUAUACAAAUCUUUGCUGGUCCAACUGCAUUAAUUGGCAUCAAAAUUUCUGAAACCAAACAAUAAUUUGAAUAUUAGUUAAAGAGAGAAAAAAAAAUUGGGGUUAGAUUUUGAGUUGGCUCGGGUCAGGUCAAGCUAAGUCGGCCCAAACCAAGGUCCACCCGAAUCAACCCAAGUCUAGAUCGAGUCAAAUCAGUCCAGUCGAGGUCGAGCAAAGAUGACACGAGACUAAGUCCAGCCAAAAUGAUCAGAGCUCUAGUUGGGUUGAGUCGACUUGGGCCUGGAUAGAACUCAAGUUGAGCUAAGUCGACUCGAGUCCAGAUCCACACAAGUUGAUUCAAGCCCAUGUCAAGCCGAGUAGAACAAGGCCCAUGUCGAACCAAGUCAACCCGGGCCCAUGUCGAGCUGAGUUGACCAGGACCACGUCGAGCCGAGUCGAACCGAGCCCAUGUUGACUCGAGUCGACCUGGGCCUAUGUUGAACCGAGUGUGCCUAAUCCCAUGUCGAGUCAGUUCGGGUCCAUAUCAAGUCGAGUCAGCCCCGACCCAUGUCGAGUAGAGUCGACCCGAGCCCGUGUCGAGCUGAGUCAACUCGGGUUCAUGUCGAGCCGAGUUAACCUGAACCCAUGUUGAGCCGAGUCGAUCCGAUCUCAUUUCGAGUCGAUUCGAUCCUGACUCUUUUCGAGCCGAGUCGAUUCGAGCCCAUGUUGAGUCAAGCCGAGUCGAUCCGAGGACAGUGAAUUUUGUGUUGCUUCCAGACCUAUUUUCGCUAAAGUAAAACAAGUUGAAAUGAACAUUUUUCUCAACUGUACCCAUAAAGAUUAAUGACUAAAUCAUAGAGAAAAACAAAGAAUAAGAGAUCUUUAGGGUAAAAAUGAACUUACUCUGUUUGAAAAAUAGGAUAAAAAUGUAUCCUAACUCCUCAGCAUGGCGUGAUCAAAUUUUAGAAUAAAUAAGGUACGAGAGAAAAAUUAAAAGAGAAAAAAGAAAAGAGAGAGAAACCAUACAUUUUUUUUCCAUGUGUUUACAUCAUAUAAUUCCUUAUUACAUAUAUUAAAAACAAUUACACUAAAUUAUUAUUUUAUUUUAAUCACGUAUAUUACACGUUAAUACACUUUUUCAUAUACAUUUAUAUAGAAAAUAUAAUAAUUCCAAUAUCAUAUAAAAUCUAUCCUUAGGACACAUCCCAGCCAUUAUGGUUUCCAUCAAGUUAAGACCCUUAACAUUGUCUUUUGCCAGACCCAAAAUUCAAAAAUCAGAAUAUGCAUAUCGUGUUUCCUGAGUAUGUACCCUAUACUAUUUUAUAUGUAAUCUUUUUGUUCUUGUGUGGAUUGGAAAUGCCCUCUCUCAUGCUCUAGUAGGCCUUGGACUCAUAAAAUUAAAGAAAUUUUAAUUUUUGGAUUUUUAUAAAAAUAUAAAAAUAUAUAUAUAAAAGAUUAUUUUCAAAUUAGUAUUUUAAUAUUUGAUACUUAAAAUUAUUAAAUGUCAAUUUAGUUAUUUCAUUCCACCUGUUUAUAGAAUCAUAUAGGUCUUUGAAAUGAAGACUUAGAUUAAUACAUAUAAAUUGAGUUAAUCUCGUAUUAGUUAAACCUUUCAUACCUUCAUUAUUAGUUAAUUAUUAGUUAAACCUUUCGUACCUUAAUUAUUAGUUAAUUAUUAGUUAAACCUUCCGUACCUGAUUAUAUUAAUUUAACUUUUUUAGGAGUAUGUUGAGGCAGGUUCCCAUGAUAUGCUCGACUAUAAUUACUGAAUAAUUCUCAAUCGUUGGUUCCAUGGACGUGUUGAUAAUGGAUAAUUUAUGAUGCCUGCACACUACUCUAAAAUGGUGUGUCGGUGUCCGAUACUCGUAUGAUACCGGUAGGAUAUGUAUUUGUGAAGUGUCCAAUUCAAAAAGUAUUUGUUAGAUUUCUAAUAAUUCUAGUACGGUUCUAACACAAUUCUAAAAAGAAAAAUACAUUAAUUUUUUAAAAAAUCAAAUUUUAUUGUAUAAAUUAUUAUUAUGAUUAUAAAAAUAAAAAUAAAAAUCCUUGUAAAUCAAUCAUAAAAAACAUCUUUCUGCUCCAAAAAAUAAUUUGGAACAUACUUGUGCACAUAAAUCUUUAUUGUCAAUUUAUAUAAUUCAUAAUUAUAUAAUAUAUAAAUUCGUGUCCCCGUGUCCUACAUUUUAGAGAUUUUACGUAUCUCCGUGUUUGUGUCCGUAUCGUAUCAGUGUUCGUGUCAAUAUCAGUGCUACAUAGUGUACAACACACUUUUUAAUACUUACAAUUUUAUAAAUAAUGAUAAUUAACAAUGACAAAAUAUAUUACUGAACUAGAUACACUUGAGAUUAUAUAUAAUAUUUUAAUAAUUUGUUUACUUAUCAAAUGUGAUAAAUGUUAGAAAAGAUGGUUUUAAACUAGAGGGGGGUGAAUUGUUUAAAGGGGUUUUCGCAAACUUUUCAAAGCUAGAAUGAACUUAUUUCAGAAACCAAUUGAUUCAGCAAUUCAGUUAGCCAAAACAGCAAGCAAAACUGUAAUACCAGAAAAAACAAUCGGUUGUUUCUUCGAAACAAUCGGUUGUUUAUACCAGCAAACAACAAACAAACUGAAAUUAAAGAGUUAGGGAUAGAAAGAUUGUACACAGUUGUUUAUACCGGUUCACUCCAAACUAGAGCUACAUCCAGUCUUCUCAGAAACCCUGAGGAUAUCCACUAAGCAACCACACCUUGAUCACUUACACCACAACCAAGAGAAUGACCUUGAACACCUCAAGAAACACACUCUCCUUGGCCAACACUAAGAUUGCUGAUCUUGAACACCUCAAGAACACACAGCCAAUCUCAGCACAACACACACACGAAUUGUUCAGCAGAUUACAAAGAUUACACUUGUUACAUAUGGAAAUCUGAAAUCAAUACAAGUAGAAUCCUAUUCAACACCUUGAUCAAUCUCUCAACUCUUUAGCAAUCUCAGAACUCUUUUGAAAAACUCUUAGAUGAAAAACUUUGUUUCAAGAUUCUUAAUACAUCAAAACAGUUUUUCAGAAUAUAUCUAAGAAUAUAGUUUGUUAUCAAAUCUUAACAAACUCUUAAUUGCAUUUAAAAUAGAUUGGUCAAAGCAUUUAAUGACUGGAGCGUAUUCAGUUAAAGCAUUUAAAGCUCAGUCAAAGAAAACAGUUUUUCUAUUAUGGUUUUAAAACAAACAAUCGAUUGUUUCCUCGAAUCAAUCGGUUGUUUUGUUACUUAACAAAAUACAUCAUUCAAAAACAGUUUUCAAACUUUCUCAAAACACCUAAGUGUAAACAAUCGAUUGUUUCGACACAACAAUCGGUUGUUUCAACUUAGUUUUUAAAACAUUUUGCUUUGUUAAAAUUGAGAUGCUAAUUGCUUUGAGAUUUAAUCUAAGGAUUGAUUACAACAUUAAACUACCCCAGAACAAGGCUUAAACCAGCACAGCAGCAUCAAGCAAAGCAGAGGCUUCAUCAUCCUUCAAAGGAUUUGGAUUCUUCAAAACAUUGAACACCACUUGGUUCAACAAUAAAUAUAUUAUAAAAGAUGAAAAGGUGUAAACAACUAAAAAUUGCAUAAAUGUCAUACCUAAUAUUAUUUUUGAGUUUAACUAACCCAAAAAAGUCAGAAAACAAAGUUUACAGUGUAGACAAAUACUUUCAUAUUUUUAUUGAUGUAGUUUUCGUGUAUUAAAAAACAAAAGUCUCCCACUUCAAAGAAUUUAUAUAUUACCAACAUUUUUUUCCAUUAUUAGAUCUUAACUUUAGUUUGUGAUACUAAAAUAUUUGCUACUCUUUUCUAUUGCGAGAGGUCAUUUGUAGUUAGUGGCUUGUAAGAACAUCUAUCAGUUUUAUUAAUAUUAUCACAGAAAAUUCCUUAUUUUUUUUCAUGAGAGAAAAUUUUCUAUUCAAUCUUUGUUAGAAGAUAAAUUAAAAUUUUCUCUACUAUUUUGAUAUUCAAGUCUUACAUGGUGAAUGAACUCUUUCAUAUAUUCAUUGUCCUUCAUUCUAACAAUUUCAAAUUCUCUUAUCAAAUUUUGAACAUACAUCUUCUUGGAUGUAUCACUUUUUUGAAACUCCUCCUGCAACUGAACCCAAGUUUCCUAGACGAUUUAUAGAGUAACGAUUUUAAUAAAAACAUUACCCUACUAAAUUGUUUAUUUUAUGAGAAGUGUAUUUUUUUUCCUUUCUCAUUUCAUCAUUAUGAUUUUAAAUCUGAGUAAAGUCAUUUCUAAAUGAACUAUAAUACCAUGAAAGAGAAAUAGAAUAUGCUUGAAUUGCACAAGUUCAUGAGGAAACCAAACUUAAGAAUCAAGGUACCAUUUUAUUCAUUAUGUGAAUAGUUAAGAGCUGGAUAUAAAGUUGAUAAACAACAUGAAAAUGGCAAAUAACCAUUAAAGAUUAGUGUGUUCUCUGCUAUGUGGGAAGUUUGGACAUUUGCAAAAGAAUUGCCCCAAACGUAAAGCUUGGUUUAAAAUAAAGGUGAGCAUAAUGCUUAUGUAUGUUUUGAAUCAAACUUAACUGAAGUUCGCUAUAAAAUUUGGUGGAUUUAUUAUGGAUGUACAACUGAUGUUUCUAAUAUGAUGUAUGAAUUCCUUUUAAUCCAAACCAUAAACACAAAUGAGAAAUUUGUCUUCAUGGAAAUAGAGUGAAGGUUGCAUGUAAAGCUAUAGGACUUAUCGUUUAAUCAUUAACACUGGAUUUUAUUUAUAUUUGUUUGAUAUUUUUUAUGUACCUAACAUUUCUAGGAAUUUAGUUCUUUGUCUAAACUUGAUGUUGUUGGAUACUCUUAUAGGUUUCAUGUUAUGGAUAUGUCUAUUUACUACAUGAGAAAUCUCAAGCAGUGAAUGUCCUAGAAAUUUAUAUAAAUGAAGUGGAAAGACAAUUAGGCAGAAAUGUGAAAAUUGUCAGGUUGGAUACAGAUGGUGAAUAUUGUGGAAAAUAUGAUGAAAGUCAGACCCUAUAUGAUCCGAUGUAAAACACUUCAAAAAAUUUACCUGGCUUUUUUAAUGUCGUGGUUAGGGAGGUCAUACAUAAAUGGUCGAGGUCACUAGGAAUAAUAAAAUGUGUUACUCAAUUAAAUAAAUAAAUAAUGUAUUAUUGGAAUAAUUACUUAUUUUUCUAUGUUUUAAAAAAAUAAAUUUCAUUUUGACAAGCAUGAUAUUUAUUCUUUUAUAAUGAUUAUAUGAAUUUUUCGAGUUACACGAGAUAUUCUAAAUCUAUUUAUUUUGACUAUUCUACUAAAUGAGAUAAUUUUUUCAUUUUUCUUAUAGUUUUUUCUUUUUUUUUUUCCUCCAUUUGUGUGAAAAAAAAAUAGUAUGCGAAUGGAAUCAAGAUAUUUCAACGUCAGAAUCUUAAACUGAAAAUAGUCUUUAUUAUUAAAUUAUAGAAUUAGUUCUCAUUUUAACAACCAUUCAUUGGUGGUGGUAUAAGAAAAAAGCUUAAUAAAAGACAAUCAUGUGUACUCCUCAGUCACUCAAAAUAAAAUGCAAUGAUAACAAUGCAAAAUAUGGGUACCACAAUUGCAAAAUCAAAGAAUCUCCCACUUGUCAUAGUUUAUGACACACACAAAAAUAGUUAUACUCAAACCAUUAAAUUGAUAAAAACACUUGAUCGCUUAUUCAAAUUAUUUGAACACAUGAUUAAAUGUGUCACAUGUCUCAAACUAGAAUUAAAAUCAACCACAAACUUUGCAUUAUUAUCCUCUCUUUUAACCUAACUAGCUAGUCGGUAAACUGGUCUAGUUAACAAAUGAUUCUUUCUUGGUAUGCUAAGUCCAAAUAUCUCUUGCAUGUCUAAUUCAUGAGAAGACAUGCCUAAUGGAAGCACCCAAUCAAAACAAUGCACCAAUUGAGCCAAAACAAGGCUAAGCGUGGUUAAACCCAAAUGAAUCCCGGGACACCCUCUUCGACCAGACCCAAAUGGUAAAAUGCGAAAGUCCUUUCCACGAAUAUCUAUGUUGUCAUUCUCAAACCUUGUAGGAUCGAAAAUCGCAGCAUUGUUCCAAACUUUAGGAUCCCGUCCUAUAGCCCAUGCAUUUACUAUAAUCCUUGAUUUUUUCUUUAUGAAAUAACCAUCAAUGAUAACAUCUUCUCUACACUCACGAGGUACUAACAAAGGUGCAACCGGGUGCAACCUUAGUGUUUCCUUUACCACCAUGUUCAAAUAAGACAAAUUUUCUAAGUCAUUUUCCUCCACGUGUCUAUUCAUUCCAACCACAUGUUCUAGCUCGUGUUGAAGUCUCUUCAUCACACUUGGGUGCCUCAAGAGUUCUGACAUGGCCCAUUCUAACAUUGUGGAAGACGUUUCUAAUGCUCCAGCAAUUAUGUCUAAUAUGAUAGCUUUGAUGUUUGUCCUAUCAAUGACGUUUUGGUUGUUGUGAACUUCAUUUGGUUGGUGGAUGAGUGAGAGCAAAACCUCCACAAAGUCCAUGUUGCAUUUUUUAUCUUUGUCAUAUGGAUUACUCUUUUUGUCUUGGAUUAUUUGCUCAAAGCCUUUAUCAAGUGACUUGCUUGCUUUCUUUAAUCUUUUUGUUAGUCCCUGAACAACGUUUUCAUGGAUAAAUAUGAAAAAAAUAAUAUAAUUAUAACAUAUUCUUUGGUACAGAUAUGACAACAAACAUUUGGAUUUAUUUAUUUAUGGAGUCACAAGUAAUUUUUAUUCAAUAAUAAUAAAUAUGUCAAAAGUUAGAUAAACACUAGUAUGAAUAAAGACGAAUUUAGUUUCAAUUUACACCAAUUUAUUUCUCGAGUUAAUUGAAUUUAUUUUAUUCCAAAUUGCAUUUCAUUAAUUAAUUAAAUUAUGUGAAAUUAAAAAGUUAUAUUUAUUUUUUUUAAUUGCAAUAAUUAAAAUUGAAAAAAUCACAUGCAACCAAAGUAAAAAAAAAAAUCAGAAAUAAACAUAAAAAAUAUUAUUAAAAUAUUAAAAUUAAAUAAAAUUAUUGCAAAAAACCCUAAAUAAUUCUAACCCAUUUAAAAUAAAUACAAAUCACAUUAAAAAUAAAAUAAAACACAAAAACUAGCCAAGAGGCAUGAUUUAAAAAACCAAAAUAAAUAGUAAAAAUGUGUCUAGUGUCAUAACUUCACAUUAAAAAAAAGGAAAACUAAAACUUUAUAACAUACCACUUAAUACAUCUUUAAUAAAAUAAUAUUUAAAAAAAUAAUCUAGAAAACGUGUUUCCAAAUAUUAUUUUAUUAAAAAAAAACUUAAAAUUCGUAUUAUGAGAUAUAACUUGAGCAAGUGCCGGAACCCUCAGCACAGCCAAGAUGUAAUGGUUGUUCAAUAAGCAGUUAAUAAGAACCUCAAUUACUAUCAUUUUAGUAUUAAUAUAAAAGAAGAAUUAAAUAUAUUUUCAUAUAAACAAAAUUAGUUUUCAUAAUUUAUCCAAAUUUUAGACUUUUUAAAUAUUUAUAAAAGAAAUAUUAAAUUUGUCAUUUUAUAAAUUUUUAUAUAUAUUAUAUAUUAUAAUGCAUGCAUAUAUACUAUAACAAGUUUUAGUUGCAACAUAUAUAUAAUUAAAUUGAUACCUGAAGAUCAAACACUCUUAGCCAGGGAAUGUAAUCUGCAAGAUUAAAAGCUCCAAUCAAGUUGAGAGCCUCUUGAAUAAGGUUUUUCAGGUCCAAUCUAUCAUCUUUUGCACACCCCAACACCAUUUUAAACACCAUCUUCUCCAUCAGCUCCCCCAGCAACUCACUCAGAUCAACAACCUCACCAGAUGCUGCAGAAUGUUUCAGAGACUUCACCAACACUCCCAACUCCUCUCUCCUCAUAGGAGCAAACAUCUCAACCCUUGAGGCACUCAGAAGCUGCACAGUGCACACUUUUCUCAUGUUGCGCCAGUAUGCACUGUACUCAGAAAAAGCCAAACCCUUGCUGCCAUGUGAAAGGAAUUCAGAGGCUUGGAUUUUGGGUCUGCUGGCAAAAACAGUGUCAUGGGUUUUGAGGAACAGUUCUGCAGUUUCUGGGGAAGAAACCACUAUGGCUGGGAUCUGCCCUAGCUUUAAGGACAUUAUGGGACCAUAUUUUGUGGCAAGGGAUUGAAGGGUUCGAUGUGGGAGUUUUCCUAGCAUGUGAAGGUUACCAAUUAUUGGCAAGGGUUUGGGACCUGGUGCAGUUUUUCCAUCAUGUUUCUUUUGGAACAGAAAAACAAUGAAUGAGAUUAAGAGAAGUAUUAUAGGGAUAGCUAGUGCUUGAAACAACAUUUCUAAAUUGUUUAUUUGCUUGAUGAGAAUUAAGAGAUGAGUUUAGGGUAUUUAUAGACCUUAAUAUAUAACAUACUGUACAUAGAGAGAGACUUUCAAAUGUAUUAGAAUAAGUGAUUUUGUAAGAAUUUUAGAACAAACAUUUUGUUAGAAAUUUUAGAAUAAACAUUUGAAAUUUUAGAAAAAAACUUCUUUAUUUUAUUCAGAUUUUAAAAUAAACUUUUAAAAUUUAACUAAAGUUAAAAAAUCUUCUUUAUUUUAUUUAAUUUUUAUAAAAAAAUUUAAAAAAUCGUUAUAAAAUUUUAAAAUAAAUCUCUAAAAUUUAACGUUGGAAAUCUGUUAUAAAAAAUAAUAAUAAUAGAAGAUAUUUUAGAUUGCGCAGGAAAACAAUUUGUAUUUUAUAUAAAUCUUUUUGUGACCAAAAAUUGAUCAGGAGAAAUUUUAAAAAAUGUCGUUUUCAAAUGGUAGCUGCAAAUUUCUUAAUUCAGUACUCCUUUCCAUAAGUCCUUGAAUUGUAUAUAGUAAUUUAAUAAAAAUUAGGUUAAUAUAAUUAGAAAUUGUAUAUUUAUUUAUUUAUUAAGUAACAUAGACCAAUUGUUUUCCUUCUGUCUUUGGUGGUCCUGAACCCUAAGAUAGUUGCCAUUAUGAUUGGUCAGCAAGGAAUGGGAAACUACAUCUCAGCUGGGUCCAAGUGCUUUGCCUUAAUUGGCAUCAAAUUUAUGUGAAACCUAACAAUAAUUUGAUUAUUCUUAAUUGUUAUUACGAAAUUCAAACUCAACUAAACUUCACCUUUUAUUAUGUGUUGGAAUAAUUUUGUGAGUUUUGCUUUUUUAAGUCUUGUGAUGGAAAGUGUAUGAAUUUAUUCUAAUUAUAUUAUGAUUUAUUUGAAAUGUAAGAUUUGGGAUUAUUGGGUGUUUGAAUAUGAAUAUAUAGAUAUAUAGUUUAGUAUAUAAGCUCAUUGAGAGAGUAUUUGUCUAAUCAUAAGCAAGGUGGUAUCUAUUUUGGCUGUUAGAUUUUGUAAAAAUAUAGAUUCGGAAUUGAAUUCUCGAAAGAAGGCUUCAAAAAAUAUAAGUUUUUAUGAAAGUUAAAUCAGUAAUUUUUUUUGAUUAAGUGAGAUAAUUUUUCUUAAGUGAAAUAUCCUCACUCAAGCUAAAAGUAGACAGUGAAUUUUGGGUUGUUCCUAAACUUAUUUUCACUAAAGUGAAGUUUUUUAACUCAAGUUAAAAAAUAGAGUCUCUCGUAUUCAUUUUCGCUCAAGCGAGAGCAAAUCUUGCUCAAGAAAAAAUGGGGCUAAAGUUUGGGGUGCUCUUGGAUUUAUUUUCACUCAAACGACGAGAUUUUUACUAAGGUGAGACUCAUUUAUGCUCAAGCUAAAAAAAACUUCAAUUUUGAAAAAUUGCUUCUAAAACACUGUUUUAUUAUUGUCUAUUACUUUAUUAAAUUUAUUUGAAAUUUUAGUCAUAUAUGUAAUUGAAAAAGCAUUUGAUUAUAUGUUUAUGUAAUUUCUUGAAUAUUUUUGGAUUUUUAAAAUUCUAAACUUUGUAUGUUUUAAUGGUGUAUUGAUGUAUGGUAUGGAAUAUGAUUUAUGUGAAAAUGUAACCAAGACAUAGUAUUUUUAGGAAAGCAAACACCGUGUUGAUAUUGUUAGGAGAGUGUAUUUAUUUGUGAGUACUAUGUGAAAGGGACGAUCCUGACUCUAGUGAUAUUUUGGAAUCAUGUAGAUGACAGGUAUCAGGUGGCGAGUAUCGAGAGAGGUUCAUAUGACUGAGUAUGCAGUUUGAAAGAACUUAUCAAAGCAAAUUAUAUGGAAUUACCCGUAUCAUAUGUGAUGGAUUUCCUGAAGGGAAGACUAUAUGUUGUGAUGAGAACAUGAUAACAUGACAAGUGCAAGUCUCUAAGUGCUAUAAUUUCAAUAAAUGGUUCUUCCAAAAGUAGAGUCAAAUGUCUAUGUGUGGAUGUCAGUAGAUUUCUAGCAUGAGUUAUGUCGAACAUGUGAAAAAAUGUAGACACUUGAUUGUGUAGUACAUAAAAAAUUGUGAUUGCAUUCAUUGGAUUAAAUGAAGUGUGAUGUUUCAGAUGUUAUAAUGAAAUACUAGUUUACCCAUUUUCUUUUGUCUAUGGUUAUUAUUAUUUUUUAAAACCGAAGAUGAUCGUGCUUUACAAAAAGAGUAGAGAUUAUAAGUAAUGGAUCUUAUUAUUGAGGAGCCGGAGAGUUAAUAGAGAUUUUUUUAAAAAUUUGAAUCUUUUGAUGUAUAUACAUUUUUAAAUCUCUAUAAAAAGGGAAAAUAAUUUUUAAUGUAAUAUUGUGAGUAGUUAGAGUAGCGAAAAUGGAUGUUACAAUAUUUCCUCUUUUUACUAUAAUGUAACCAAAAAAUGAUAUCAAAAUAUUUUAACUAUAUAUGGUAAAAUUAAUAAAUUAGCUAUCAUUUUUAUAUUUUAAAUAUAUAUUACUAUCUUUUAUAUUUUAAUAUAUGUGGUUAGUAUCUUUAAAAAAAAUUAUCUUUUACCCAUUACUUUAAUUUUAUAAGAACAAUUAAUUAUUGUAUUAUUAUUAAUAUAUGUACUCUCUAGUUUCUUUAUCACUUUAAAUUAAAAAUAAUAAUAUUAUAAAAGAAAUAACUAAUGUUUCACUACUUAAACUUAUAUAAAAUUACAUAUAAUAAGAAUUACAAAAAUAAAUACUUAGUUAAUGUUCUCGUCGGUUGACUCGCUUGUCGGUUGACUCGAACGGCAGUCUAUGCCCCGUCUGUCUCCGCCUGUGAAUCAUGCUUCCUAGGGUUGAAGAACAUUUUACCUGCAAAGACAAAGGGCGUCUUGGCGGCCGUUUGCACUCUCACACUCAAGUCAGUACUGGAGCAAAAAACAAUAAGUGUAUAAAGUAUUUUCAGUCUUAGAAACUGUGUACAUUGCUAGGGUUCUUACCACCCUUUAUAUAGGUUGUAACUAGGGUUUACUUCUGUUCUGUUACCCACAUCUAGGGUUCCUUGGAGAAUGUUCAUGCGCCGCUAUUACACAAUCUUAGCAUAAUCUGGCACAUAGGACUUCCCUUUACUGGAGUGCAACGACUAACAGAAUGGUCGCCAAGGUACCAACUCAUGCACCAAUGCGGCGGGGUCAUCUGUUCUAUGGGUGCCCCAAGUAUUCGUGUGCCAUGCAUGCAGCCUACCCUUGGAAACCCUAACUCUAAUGGGCCUUAGCGCCUCUAAGAGUUAUUUACUUGUGUUGUGCACAAAUGUGUCAUACACCCCACAUGCAUGGAUCCCUUGUGACUUAGGCUUUCUGAUAUCUGAGUGUUUUAUCUAAUAACUAAUAUGAUUUCUAGGGCCCACCUUACGUGGUCCAUCUUUACUAUUUGACACCGAUGUCUGAUGUCUGAGGUCCUCUCUGGAGUCGAUGACCGAGGACUAGUCGAUACAGUUAAAUUUUAAGUCAUUUAUAAGUAUGAAUAUUUUCAAUUGAGUCAAAUAGUCUCACAUUAUCUAGGAGAUGAGAUCAAGUAUAAUUUUAAUACAUAUUUCUUUCUUAGUACUUUAAAACAUUUUGUAAGGAUAAAAUCGUAACAAAACUUUUUGACGUGAUUGACUGAUGUUAUCUCAAAAUAUUUGAGGUUGAAAUAUGGGUGUAAUCUAUGACAAUUGAAAAAUGAUUUCAAAUAUAUUAAAUGAUAUGGAUACAAGAUUUCUAUAAAAAAAUCAAUAUCAAUUGUGUUUUUUCUAAUUCUUAUUUGUUUGUCUAUGUAAAGGUGUAUAACCUUUAUUUUGUCUUUUCAGAUUUUAGUCUUUAUUGAUUGACUUUUUAUUUUCCAUUUUCUCUCCUUAGCUAGACCUAGAUGAGUAUAAUAAUUGUAUAUAUUCAGACUAUUUGUUUUGAUUUCAAUAGAAAAAUAGAAGAAUUAUUCCUUCUCACAUCUCUUUUUUUUAUCAACAACAACAACUAAAUAAAAGUGAACCACUUCAGGGGUGGAUCAACCCUUAUACAAGAAAUACAUAAUCCAACGUCUAACACGACCCUCCAAACCAAACAGGCAAGUCCACACUAAGAACCUAAAAACCUAAAAAACAUCAAAUAACCAAACGCAUAUAUUCCAAAGGUUUCAAACACCAACUGGAAAAGGAAACCAAAGCAGUGCGCGUCUCUUGCCUUCAUUUUUCUCUUUUGUUCAUCUUUGUUCUAUUUUAUAUUAAAAGACAACUCUCAUUAUCUUUAGUCCUUGACUAUGGGCUUGUUCAGUAACAUCCAGCCGUCUCACAUUGCUUAUGAGUCGAGAUCAUGGAUAAUUUAAUUACACAUUACUCUUAUAAUCCUUCAAAACGUAAUGAAACUUUGAGCUCCAAAGUGGACAAUAUUUUGGAUGCAGUAAUUGAUAAGUUAGCUAAUUUAUGAUUUAUUCAUAGAAAAUCUUUUCAUUGGUAUAAUAGGUUUCCAUCUAGUCUGUUCUUGGAAUUCUUUAUGAAUAUGUAUAGUCUACAUAUGUAUCUUUUUUGUUAACAUGUGAGUUUUUGUCUAGUCUCCUUAAUAAAAUAUUUUUUUAUGUGAUGACAAAUGAUUGUUGUUACUUGAAGUAUCAACAUCUGAUAUUUUAAGUUAUAUAAUGAUGUCUAAUAUGAAAAUUUUUAUUUAAUAAAAAAAGUAAGCAAUAUUUUGAAUGAGUGAUUAUUCCUAAUUAUUUUAUCUCAACAGAAAUCAAAACGAAAUUAUUAAAAUUUUAAAAUAAAUAGUUUAUUAUGCAUUAGUAUACUUAAGAGGUGGUAAAAAUCUUCUCAUUUACGUCAGAAGAAAAUUCCGUUUUUCCUCAAAUAUAUGCAUAUCAAAUCUACACUAAAUAAAAUAAAACCAGAAUAUGUGGAUACUUACAAAUGAUGAACAUACAUAUUUUACUAUAUACCUGCAAGGGUUUAAAUAGUUAUUAAUAUUAAUUAAAUAUGUUAGAGUUUGAUUUUUAAUGUAUACGGUAAGAUUAAUAAAUUAGCUGUUAAUUUAUAGUUUGUAGUUCAUUCUUUUUAUAUUUCAAUAUAUUUGGUCAGUAUCUUUAAUUUUUUAUCUAUUAUUAAUUAUUUAAUUUUAUAAAAAAAAUUCAUUAUCGUUAAUUAUUAAUUAAUAUUUGUAUUCUUUAAUUUUUGUAUGUACUUUAAAUUAAAAAAAAAAUACUAUAAAAGAAAUAACUAAUGUUUCAUUACUUAAAGCUUAUAUAAAAAUUACAUAUAUAAUAUGAAAGGUAAGAAAUUGAUUGUUUAUAAAAAAAUUAUCUUAUUUAUCAACACUUUAUUUAUCAUGGAUUGGAUCGAAUUUGGUCGAAUUCAGAUCCAAUUUGAUCAAUCUAAUAUUAUCUAAAUUGAAUAUUUUAAAUUUUAUAUCCGGUCAUUUAAUUUAUUGAGUUAGUCAAAUAUAAAUUACAAGUUAAUUUGAACAAAUUAUUCAGAUUAUGAAUUCAUAUCAAGUUAUUUUUUUAAUAAAAUAUUUUAUUUUAAAUAAAUGAAAUAAAUACACCAAAUCUUUAAAAAAAAUCAUAUGUGUGAUUUUAAUGAUUAUUUAAUUUUAUAUAGUUUAUUAUUAAAUUUUAAAAAGUAUUAACCAAAAAUAAAUUUUAAAAUUUAAAAUAUACUUACAAAUUUAUAAAUAUUAAAAUAUUCUUUUUAAGAUUAGUUUAGAUACUCAUAAAUUCUAAUCUAUGAUCCAAAUUCAACCCUUAUUAUUUGUUUUAAUCAACUUUAUUUAUUUAGUACUACCUGUCACUGGACCAAACCUGACCUUGUGUAGAUGGGUCGAAUGCAUUCUAUUUACAGAAGCCUAAAUGUUUUAACACCACAUUCUAUUUCUUUUUGAGUAAAUAUUAAAUUUCAUAUUUAUGUGAAUCUUACAAAUUUUGUUCUAUUUAUUAUGUUAUUACGUUAAUUCAUCUUAUAAUUCUUCUUUUUUCAUUGACUUCAUUAUUAUUGAGUAACCAAACUAUCAUAAUUGAUCUCGUUUAUUUUAAAUGAUUUUUAUUUAAAAAAAUAAGAUAGGUUUUAUUGAUGGAACCAUAGAUACUCCCACUCAUAUUAGCUUAUUAUUUUUAGCAUGGCAGAGAGCCAAUAUGUUGGUUGUUUCCUGGAUGCUCAAUGUUGUUUGUUCAUCCAUUGUACAGAGUAUCAUUUGUAUGGAUGAUACCUUUGACAUAUGGGAAUGAUUUAAAGGAAAGGUUCUCAUAAGGAGACAUGAUUUAUAUUUCUUAUUGUCAAGAGAUGAUUUCUUCUUACAAACAAUAUUCUAAUAAUGAAGAGCAAAAUCAUGAAAGUUCAAAGACAAAAGUGUAGUCUCGACAGAUUGGUUUUACCCCUGAGUAGUAUCAAACAACAACAAAAUUAAUUACAUUUUGACAACAAUGAUAUUUAUGCAUUUUAUAACAAUUAUAUGAAUUUUGUCAGUUACCCAGAGCUUUUUAAAUUUAUUGAUUUUAACUACUAUACUAAAGAAGGAAUCAUUGUGUAAAUGAAAUCAAGAUAGUUAAAUUAGGGAAUCUUAAACUGAAAAUUGUCUUCAUUAGUAAAUUAUCAAUUGAACUAGCUCUUAUUUUAAGAACUAUUCGUUGGUGAUAGUAUGAGACAAAAGCUAAAUAAAAGACAAUUGUGUUGGCUCUUCACUCGUCCAACAUAAAAUGCAAUGACAUCGAUGGAAAAUAUGGAUACAACAAUUGUAAAAAUAGAUAAACUCUCACCCGUCACGAGUUGUGUCACAAACAAAAAUAGUUAUACUUAAACCAUUGAACUGAUAAAACUCUUGAUAACUUACAUCGAAAAACAAAAUCAUUAUUCAAAUUAUUUUAUCAUAUGGCUAAAUGUGUAAUAUGUCUCAAAUUGAAAUUGGAAUUGAAAUCAACCACAAACAUAUCUAGAUUGACCUUGCUUUCCAUUAUUAUCCUCUAUCUUAACCUAACCAGUUAGUCGAUAAACCGGUCUAACUAACAAAUGCUUCUUUCUUGGUGUGGUGAGUCCAAAUAUCUCUUGCAUGUCUAACUCAUCACAAGACAUGCCCAAUGGAAGCACCCAAUCAAAACAAUGCACCAAUUGAGCCAAAAUAAGGCUAAACGUGGUUAAACCCAAAUGAAUCCCGGGACACCCUCUUCGACCAGACCCAAAUGGUAAAAUGCGAAAGUCCUUUCCACGAAUAUCUAUGUUGUCAUUCUCAAACCUUGUAGGAUUGAAAAUCGCAGCAUUGUUCCAAACUUUAGGAUCCCGUCCUAUAGCCCAUGCAUUUACUAUAAUCCUUGAUUUUUUCUUUAUGAAAUAACCAUCAAUGAUAACAUCUUCUCUACACUCACGAGGUACUAACAAAGGUGCAACCGGGUGCAACCUUAGUGUUUCCUUUACCACCAUGUUCAAAUAAGACAAAUUUUCUAAAUCAUUUUCCUCCACGUGUCUAUUCAUUCCAACCACAUGUUCUAGCUCGUGUUGAAGUCUCUUCAUCACACUUGGGUGCCUCAAAAGUUCUGACAUGGCCCAUUCUAUCGUUGUGUAAGAUGUGUCCAAUGCUGCAGUGAUUAUGUCUAAUAUGAUAGCUUUGACAUUUGUCCUAUCAAUGAUGUUUUCGUUGUUGUGAACAUCAUUGGAUUGGUGCAUGAGUGACACCAAAAUCUCCACAAAGUCCAUAUUACGUUUAUUAUCUUUGUCAUAUGAAUUUCUCUCGUGAUCUUGGAUUAUUUGCUCCAAUACUUCGUCAAAUAAUUUACUUGCUUUCUUUAAUCUUUUUGUUAUUCCCUAAACAAUAGUUACAUAUGUAUAAAUAUUCCAUAUUCAUAAAAUAAAAUAGCACAUAUAAUUCAUUUAUAUUAUUUCGUACAAAUGUGAUAACAAACAUUUUGGUUUAUAUAUUUUGGUUUAUUUAUUUAUGGAGUCGCAUGCAAAUUUUAUUUAAUAAAAAAAUGUAAAAUUUAGAUAAACACUAAUAUAAAUAAGUGACAAACUUACUAGUACAAUUUUUUUAGCACAAUUUUACUUCAAUUUUUUUUUAUAUUUUCUGAAGUUGUGUUUACUUGUUUUCAAGAUUUUUGUUUAAAUCAAAUUAUGCCUAAUGACACUUCUUUUAGGUUAAACUUUUUUUAAUUAUUUUUCUAAAUUCGUGCCUAGUGUGACGUUUUUUAGUUUAUUAAAAGUUUUUAUUUGUUAUCGUACCACUAGGCAGUUUUCUCUUUUUUUUAAAAAAAAGUAAAAUCGUGUGUCUAGGCACGUUUUGUGCUUUUUUAUGAUUUUUUAUUUAUUUUAAAUGGUUUUGCAGUUUUUCGGGUUUUUUCAAUAAUUUUUUUUUGUCAUUUUCAAGUUAUAAAAUUGUGAUGUUUUUGGUUGAGGUUGGGUGUGUUUUUUAACUUAAAAAAAAUAUUUAAUAUAAUUUCAUAAUUUUUAUUUUUUGAAUAAUUUAAUUAAGUAAUGAAAUGCAAUAAAAUUAAUAGAUUAUAAUCUAGGGAAAAAAUCAGGAUUAUUGAUCUAAUUAUGUCUCUCUCACAUUAAUUUUAAACAUUGAAUAAGAUCAAAUACUAAUUAAAUGAAUUUGUAUAAGUUCGGUUGAGAAAUGAUAGAUAGUAUAUGUUUGACUUGUGUUAGAAGCUUGUAGAUUGGUUUAGUGAAUUUUGUAUAAGGUUGAGAUAUGUCUGAAAUACCUUAUUUAUUUAUUAUUUUUACUGAUAAAAAUAACUAAAUGAAUUAUUUAACUUAAAAUAAGUAAAAAAAAAUUCAAAUUUUAUUGUUGGAAUGAAGGUGAUAAUAGCAAAAAAUUCUCGGACAACGAAAAAUAUUUUUCAUAAAAUCUAUUUUCUCCAUUAAUUGAAUUUAUUUUAUUACAAUAAAGGCUUUAUAUUAUUACUAGUGUUUCAAAUUUUCCAAAUUGCAUUCCAUUAAUUACUGUAUUUCAUUAAUUGAUUAAAUUAUCUAAAAUUACAAAAUUAUAUUCAAGAACUUUUUAAAAGAAUUAAAUAAUUAAAAUUGAAAAAAUCAUGCCCAACCAAAGUAAAACAAAAAAUCACAAUAAACAUAAAAAAUAUAUUAUUAAAACUUGAAAAAAAAAUUAUUACAAAAACCCUAAAAAAUAAUACUUUUUAACCAAAAAGACGACAGUUUUUAACCAUUCUUAAGAGCCACGCAACUUUAUAUUUUUCAAUCUAUGAUCGAUGAUGGCUUAAAGUUGCAACUAUUACUGGAAUAUAUUUAUCUAAUGAAGACAGUUUUUUGUUCACUUUAAUCCAAAUUUUCUAAACUUUUUUUAUUUAUCAUAUUUAUCAUUUAUAUUAGUUACUAUAAUCACUAAUUGUGUUUUAAUUCGAAUAGAAAAUAUUAUGAUUUGCGUAUACUGUUCUAAAUUUUUCUAUAUUCUUUAGCAGCAUUAUGUAAAAGUAGUUCACAGAAAAUUGUUUAUACCAAAUAUUCAUAUCAAUUUAUUAUAAUGGUACAUUUUUUUUCAAUUUUUGCAUAUAGAUAAAUUUCAAAAGAAUUAUGAGUAGAAUUUACUCAUAAUUAUUAAUAUUUAAAAUAAUUUUUAAAUUAAUAUUAAAAUUUUAAUUACUAAUAUUUUAAUUCUAAAUUAGUUUGUAACACUAAACACUAAAGAGUAUAUAACAUAUAUAAUUGAAUUGAAUUUGAUACCUGAGGAUCAAAAAACCCUAGCCAAGGCAUGUAAUCUGCAAGAUUAAAAGCUCCAACCAAGUUCAUCACCUCUUGAAUAAGCUUUUUCAAGUCCAAUCUAUCAUCUUUCACACGCCCCAACAUCAUUCUAAACACCAUCUUCUCCACCACCUCCGCCACCAACUCACUCAGAUCCACCACCUCACCAGAUGCAGCAGAACGUUUCAGAGACUUCACCAACACUCCCAACUCCUCUCUCCUCAUAGGAGCAAACAUCUCAACCCUUGAGACACUCAGAAGCUGCACAGUGCACACUUUUCUCAUGUUGCGCCAGUAUGCACUGUACUCAGAAAAAGCCAAACCCUUGCUGCCAUGUGAAAGGAAUUCAGAGGCUUGGAUCUUGGGUCUGCUGGCAAAAACAGUGUCAUGGGUUUUGAGGAACGGUUCUGCAGUUUCUGGGGAAGAGACCACUAUGGCUGGGACCUGCCCCAGCUUUAAGGACAUUAUAGGACCAUAUUUUGUGGCAAGGGAUUGAAGGUUUCGAUGUGGGAGUUUUCCUAGCAUGUGAAGGUUACCUAUAAUUGGCAAGGGUUUGGGACCUGGUGCAGUUUUUCUAUCAUUUUUCUUUUGGAAAAAAAAAACAAUGAAUGAGAGAAUAUGGUCACAAGAAAUAUUGUAGGGAUAGCUACUUCUUGAAGCAACAUUGUUUACUUGUUUCUU